ACACCGCCCGUCGCUACUACCGAUUGAAUGAUUUAGUGAGGUCUUCGGACCGACACGCGGUGGCUUCACGGCCGUCGGCGUUGCUGGGAAGUUGACCAAACUUGAUCAUUUAGAGGAAGUAAAAGUCGUAACAAGGUUUCCGUAGGGGAACCUGCGGAAGGAUCAUUAACGU
This 172-nucleotide ribosomal RNA is filed under the name Antheraea polyphemus (polyphemus moth). Its description in RNAcentral is "partial 18S ribosomal RNA". It matches the Rfam family "Eukaryotic small subunit ribosomal RNA", at positions 1666 to 1831 of the family's 1831-position model. The record is from RNAcentral. RNAcentral also lists the same sequence under 7 other names. Lineage: Eukaryota; Metazoa; Arthropoda; Insecta; Lepidoptera; Saturniidae.